Poecilia reticulata (guppy) is the source of this 5001-nucleotide non-coding RNA. The record is from RefSeq and is a predicted model, not a curated record. Lineage: Eukaryota; Metazoa; Chordata; Actinopteri; Cyprinodontiformes; Poeciliidae.
UCAAUCAAUCAAUCAAUCAAUCAAUCAAUCAAUCAAUCAAUCAAAUCAUAUUUAGAAAGCACUCUUCAUACUAAAAGCAGCUCAAAAUGCUGUACAGAUCAAUACAAACAAACAAAAACUAGAGGAGGUUCAUAAGAUAUUAUCAGCAAGAUCAGAUGGUGCAAGACCAUUAAGACAUUUAAAAACCAGUAAAAGAAACUUAAAAUCACUCCUCAGACGUACUGGGAGCCAGUGCAAUGAUUUUAAAACAGGUGUGGUGUGAGCCGGCCUUCUGGGCCUGGUUAACACUCGAGCAGCAGAGUUUAGUAACAGCUGGAGGCUGUGCUGACUUUUUUCAGUGAGACCAGAAAGCAGCAUUACAGAAUCUAUAUGGCUGGAAAUAAAAGCAUUAAAGUCUCAGUAUUAGAGAACAGGGAAAACUUUGGCUACAUUUUUUUAGAUGAUAAAAUCCUGUUUCAACUAUUUUAAUAUGUGGAAUAAAAGUGAGCUCAGAGUUGAGAAGACUGACUUCAAAACAAGUCGGAGGCUCAGGCUUCUGACUUGUUUUGAAGGUUUAAAAGACGCAGUUUGUUAUUUUUUUAAUUAUAAUUUCUUUCUGAUUCUCUGGUUCAAUUAUUAAAAUUCUGUUUGGUCCUGGUUGAGCUGGUGAAAGUUCUGUGCCAUCCAGUUUUAAUGCCUGAAAUGCGAUUAAAAAGUGCAGUGAUUGGUUGGGGGUCGUCCCGAGACAACGAGAUGUAUAACUGAGUGUCAUCAGCAUAACUGUGGAAGCUGAUUCCAUGGUUCCUGAUGACUCCACCAAACGGCAACAUGCAUAAAUGACAUGCUGCAAAUGGUUGGUUUGACUCAGUUCAGUGAGAAAAAGAUCCAGAGCAGCUGGAAAUGGAACAAAUUGAUCAGUUUUGGUUCCAAAUUAAAUCGAUUCUACCAGACUAUCAUGUGUGAAUGCAUCCUCAAAAUCAUCUGCCAUCAGUAGUCAUACUCUCUACAGCUGAGACCAGAUACUUACAUACACUGUAAACCUCACUGGCACUAAAUCAGACUAAACUGCUUCCUCAGUGGAGGACCUGACCAUGGGACUGUACACUCAGAUUAAAAGUAAUGUGCAGCUGAGUAAGCUAAUUUAGAGUAAACGGUUGUACAAUCUCUACCUCCUGCUUGCUAUUGAUUCAACCAUCAAACUACAUCAAAAUGAUCUGAAACUGAAAGUAACAGAAGUACAAAUGAAAAGAUUUCAGAGUUCUUACUGCUCUUUAUUCACACCAUUUUGAAGGAUCACAGAAAAGCCUUACUGCUUGGAGGGAAAACAGGCCAUCAUCCAUGAUUUUAAACAGGAAACACUGGACUUAUUGGUUCUGCUGAGAGGGAUGAGGUGAAAGAAAGAUGGAGGCAGUAGGUGGGAAAAAGAUUAUUAUAAAUGAAAGGCUCUGCUUCAGGAAACAAACAGGAAGUGUGUGAGCAGAUUUAAUGCACCAGAUGCAGUUUUGUGUCUGACCUUGAUGAAACGAGAAAGGGCGUCUGUCCAUAUAAAUCUGAAGGAUUUAUGGAGACCUCUGGAAAAUGAAGAGGACGUCCAAGACGGCAACAGGUCCAUGCUGGAACCCGGACAUAAACCGGCUCACUGGAUCAUAAAUCAGGCUGUCUGGUUUCGUUCUGCCUCUCUUCAGAGACCAGAAACUCUCUUCCUUCUUCAGCUGAUCAGAACCGACCCGUUUGCAAUGUUCUCCCGCCGAUACCGCGGGUUAUCUGGUCUGAGCAGCUCAAUCAGAGACCAGAAUUAAGCAGAAGAGGAAGGAGAUGGAUGAAAAAUGAUGAAUUUUUACUAAAAAUCUAAAACUUUAAUCCAGGAAACAGAGACUAGGGGCAACAAUCAGAGGAUCAGAUGAACAUCUAAAGUGGAGAUUUGAUCCCAGGGAGAACAUUGGUUUAAUUUUUAACUCCAAGUUUUGUUAAAAAAAACCAAAAAAGGCAACUCAGAUAGCCAACUUUAACAUCAAACUCAUUAGGCCUCUUAUCUUAGUCUGACCUCAAGUGCAUGAUUUUAUCACACACUGAAUAUUGCUUCACAUCAUGCUCAUUUGCUUGUUCUACUACAUUAAAACUUAUUAAACAGCUUUUUAAAAAAGCAAUUAAAGGAGACCACAGUCAUAUAAUAUUUGCCUAGUUUUAGACAAAUAUAACUUUUUAAGUUUUGAGAAUUUUCAGUUAUUUAAAAUUGACUGUCUUAUUGGGUAAAGCCAUUAAAAACGUAUCCUUAGAGAAUUUUCUAAAAAGGCAAAAAGCAUUAGGUCGACCUUCAGACGGGACUGAGAAAUUCAAUUUAGAAAGUCUUCAUUCUCAAAAAAUGUUUUAUCAAUUAAAAAAUGUUAGUGCUGGAACAAACUGCCUGUUAUUAGACAGAGCGCCACCUAUCUGUUCUGCAAAGCAUGGUUGGCCAAAACUCAGCACUGUGAUCAAUGAACCUCAGCAACCUUUGAGGAAUUUCAUGUUUUAGUUAUUAUUUUUGUGACAUAAUGUUGUAAAUAUAAAUUUUUAAAUGAGCAUUUCGAUAUGAACCUUCUUGAAAUCGGGUUUUCCAACUUUCUAUACAGUUUUUAUUGUAUUUCUUAUUUUUAUACAUGAAACAGUGUGAAUGUUUGCAUCUUCUGUUUGUUUUUAUGGGACUAAGAAUGGAAAUGAACAUUUUGCUAUAUCUGGUAUAUAUGCACUGUCCCAUUUAAAUAAAAUCAGUCAGAUGGUAACUGAGACACUAAAUAGUGAAACUGAAGGAUGAGAAAUCUUAAGGAAUGUAUAUUAAAAGCAAAAUGGGAUAAAUCCCAAACAAAGUGGAACCAAAGGACAGCAGAGGAUUUGCCAGUUCAGGUGAAAGGUCAUCAGAUCCAUAGCGGGCGGCGCCGUUCCUCAGCUAGCAUCGACCCGUGCAGCUGCUCAGGGAGUCCCCCGCCGUCAGCCUCAGCACCGAGGCGGCCGCAGCCAGCUGGCGGCUGAUGGAUCCGGGUUAGCGGGUCGGGAUUCCCUCCAGGCCCAGAGCGUUGCUGGAGGUCUCCAUCAUGAAACGCCUGCUGGCUGAGAGAGCCAUUAAACUUUCAUCACCUUCAGGUUUCCAUCAGCUGCUGCUCCUGGAAUAAAACAACUGACUGACUAAAAGCGUCUUUAACUGAGAUCAUCUGCAUGUAGGAGCUGAUUGUUCCUUCUGGAUGCUGAACAUUUUUAAUACGACUGACUCCGGUUUCAAGAGGCGAGGAUGAGUUUACAUGCUGCUUACAGCAGAAACACAAUCGCCCUCACAGCUGCAGCUGAAGACCAGACACAUCCCUCCAUCUUCUUCUCCAAAUUACACACUAACGGUGUUUUCCGGUAGACUCGGUUUGACUGGGGACCAAAACUGUUGCAUUUUCAGCUGCUGCAGUUCUCUUCUACUGCUGUUCCUCUCCUGGCCUGUGGGGCCGCUGCACCAAGAACCACUGCAGCAAACGACACAAAACCUCUGAUGAAGACACUUAGUGCAACUUCCUGCUCCACCACAUGGAAACAAAAAUGGAACGCAGCCAGCAGAGACCUGUAACCCUCUUCUCCACGGGCAUGGCUUCGUCUACAUUUGCAAAAAAACUAAGAUCCUGGUUUUUUUCAACGGGGAUGGUAGAAGCUGAGCCAAGCCUGGUAUUGCGCACAAGCCAUUUGAUUGGCGGUAGACUGCUUUCAUUGAUUCCUCCUCGUAUAACAUCUCAGCCAAUCCGCAACGAGACCGUAGUAGUUGGGAAGCUGCAGAUUGCUGAAUCUUUGGUCAAACCUUGAGGUUCAAACCUUUUCAUCAACUGUGGCGGUAGAGCGCAUACCAUGCCAACUGGACGGGGCAACAAACAAAUACACUAAGAGAAACUGACCGCGCAGAGGAAAACGCGCCAAAAUGAGAUGAUCGGAGUGUCAACCUCUGCACAGUGAGGAACACCCAACCUGGCUGGAACCGGACAGAGUAAGACUCUAUGGAGAAGAGGCUUUAGCAACCCUGAGGAUGAAUACUUGAAUGUUUAAUUAUUUAAACAUUGCGAAGAUGAAUUUUCUGCUUCUCCUGUCUGGAUCAUCUCUGGGUCUCCAAGUUGUAGCUUCAUGGUGAAUGUGGAGGCCAACAUUCAUCUGAGACCUUUUCUUUUUCUCAUCCACAUCAGUUCAUCUCGGUCUGCAUGCUGGUAGCACAGCAAGAAGAUCCUGGCUUCAAAUCCCAGCUGGGCUCUUCCUACAUGGAGUCUGCAUGACUCAUAAGACCAAUAAAAUUAUGGACAACUCUGACCUCAAGCAGCAGCACAACCUCAGCUCCCACACACUAACACACUAUCAUCUUCAGUCAGAGGCUUCUUCAAAUUUGCUGUAACACACACCGCUACAGAGAACUUUAAUGCCAUCACUGUCUACAAUAAGAAUUUGAAUUAAUGUGAGUUACAACAUUUAAUGAAGUAAUUAUGAAUUUGCAUGUCCUCCCUGUGCAUGCAUGAGUUCUCUCUGGGUACUCCGGCUUCCUCUGACAGCGAGAACCAAGACUUGGGUUAACUGGUCCUGUGAUGGAUGGAGACCUGAAGCCCCCAGUGACCUGAUCAGGCUGGCUGGACUCCAGGUUUUAAAGCAGCUCCCUGCAGCCCCAGAGCCAGAUCCUCUGAUGUGACUGAAUCAUGUAGGCGCUGCAGCGCCUGCUAGACAUCGACACCAUGGCAACAACACAAAGCUGCGUGCUUACAUAAAGGCGACCAGAGAUCCAGGAGAACAAGGCAAACCGAUCAGAAACGGGGGAGCUGGUGCUCGUUUCAUCUGAUCCCGGAUCAACUCCGUUCACGCCUCAAAGCGGCAAGAACAGGACGAGUCAGACGCACUCAGAGCUGUAGGUGGAUGACCGGCCGGCGGACACGGUGGAGUCACAAAGGUCACCGCAGGAGGAACCUCUGCAGGACUUCACAUCCUGAUGCUUCUCUGCUAACUGAUAUUUCACAAUAAAAGCGCUGCUGAGAAACUUAA